RNAcentral lists this transfer RNA (74 nucleotides) under Staphylococcus haemolyticus. Its description in RNAcentral is "tRNA-Thr". It matches the Rfam family "tRNA". Rfam says of the family: Transfer RNA (tRNA) molecules are approximately 80 nucleotides in length. Their secondary structure includes four short double-helical elements and three loops (D, anti-codon, and T loops). Lineage: Bacteria; Bacillati; Bacillota; Bacilli; Caryophanales; Staphylococcaceae. The record is from RNAcentral.
CGGCCUAGCUCAAUUGGUAGAGCAACUGACUUGUAAUCAGUAGGUUGGGGGUUCAAGUCCUCUGGCCGGCACCA